Molecule: long non-coding RNA, 217 nt
Organism: Silurus meridionalis
Lineage: Eukaryota; Metazoa; Chordata; Actinopteri; Siluriformes; Siluridae
Exons: 3
Source: RefSeq, a predicted model, not a curated record
UUCUAGACCCAGUGGUGAAACAGUAGGAGUGGCUGUGGGACUGAGUUUGUCCUUUUUGUUCAUCAUUUUGCUGAUAUUAAUGAUCCUGCUGUGGUUCUACAAAAUGAAGAAAGAAAAGCAGCAGAAAUCCAGUCAGACAUCAGAGCAGAAUCAGAGGCGAUCAGGAGCUGAAGACUCUCAGUCAGGACACAAACCACAUCAGACUGGAAAUGAACAC